UGUGUGUGUGUGUGUGUGUGUGUGUGUGUGUGUGUGUGUGUGUGUGUGUGUGCCUUUGUGUGUCAUCACGGUGAUCUCCUUUUUCUCCGUUUUUGUUGCGUUCACUUCAACAUCUUCCGCUGAUAGGAGCAAGGAGGUGAUGACAUGAUUGAAGCUGAAUGCAUGUAUGAGGAUGUUGGUCAGGGCAGUGCAAUAGCUAAUGCUGCCCUCACCGGCCACAUACAGCCUAACAGAUUAUCCAGUAUCAGCGGCAUGCCACCACCGUCUGUUCGAGCGCCGCCGGUCCCUGGAGCAGUUCAGGUGCCCGAGCCAGAGGAAGAAUGCCUCUAUGAAGAUCUUCCCAAUUAGCAUCACUGCAACGUACGGCGCAAUCAUCAAGUUUACGGCCUUGCACCGAUCAAGUAUCAGGUAUCUAUCCAAAGUUACCAGUUAGCAGAUGUGCUUGGAGGCAGACAUUUCGGAAUCAGCUUUCGUAACUGGACACUGCAGCCAGCGGCAGUACUCCAGUCCAGGGCUGCACUACUUGUGGCAUAGACUGUACUAGUGUUAAUCCACCACACGGUGUGUACUGAACGUGUGCCAUGAUGUGCUGACUUGACAGUUUAUAUGAUCAGCAACAUGCCCAUUAUUGUACCAGCUGAUCACACGACCAUGUACAGUGGUUAGUUAAAAGACUGUGUUAUAUAACAGAGAUCUAGUGGUGGCAGCCGUAGGAUGCCAUCAUUACAGAUACUGUGGCAGAAACGUGUUGUACCAUACCACCAUUACAAAUAGGUGCACCAGGCAUGUCCUUUUUGGCUUUUUGCAUGGAGCUCCACCGGCAGAUAGCUGCACUGCGUAGCUCAGUUCGGCAUUUAUAUUACAUCAUAUCUAUGUUGGCAUCAUGGUCCUUGUCUCAGCCUGGUGCUGCUCAGAGUCGUUUUGACGAGUACCUGUUAAUGGACACCUGUUAAUCUCCGGCAACUGUCCUGCUCGGAGAUAACAUGCAUGAGCUGGUCUCUACAUGCUAGAGGCAGACUCUCAUCAUUGCCAAACCAUUAUAUUUUUUGAUUCUUUACAGCAGUGGCAGCCUUUUGCUUGCGUAUUCCUUUAAAAAUAUGUUUUCCUCAAGUGCUGAAGUUCAGCUAAAACUUUCCAAAUUCUUAAAAAAGAAAGGUUGAUUCGUCAGCUGUUGACUCCAAGAACACUCAGUACUA
Molecule: long non-coding RNA, 1196 nt
Organism: Sycon ciliatum
Lineage: Eukaryota; Metazoa; Porifera; Calcarea; Leucosolenida; Sycettidae
Exons: 3
Source: RefSeq, a predicted model, not a curated record